GACGAACGCUGGCGGCGUACUUAACACAUGCAAGUCGAACGGAAAGGCCCUGCUUUUGUGGGGUGCUCGAGUGGCGAACGGGCGAGUAACACGUGAGUAACCUGCCCUUGACUUUGGGAUAACUUCAGGAAACUGGGGCUAAUACCGGAUAGGAGCUCCUGCUGCAUGGUGGGGGUUGGAAAGUUUCGGCGGUUGGGGAUGGACUCGCGGCUUAUCAGCUUGUUGGUGGGGUAGUGGCUUACCAAGGCUUUGACGGUUAGCCGGCCUGAGAGGGUGACCGGCCACAUUGGGACUGAGAUACGGCCCAGACUCCUACGGGAGGCAGCAGUGGGGAAUAUUGCACAAUGGGCGGAAGCCUGAUGCAGCAACGCCGCGUGCGGGAUGACGGCCUUCGGGUUGUAAACCGCUUUCGCCUGUGACGAAGCGUGAGUGACGGUAAUGGGUAAAGAAGCACCGGCUAACUACGUG
Molecule: ribosomal RNA, 468 nt
Filed under: uncultured bacterium
Lineage: Bacteria
Description: partial 16S ribosomal RNA
Rfam family: Bacterial small subunit ribosomal RNA
Source: RNAcentral